UUUUAAAAACUAAAAUAAUAAGUAUUUAUUUGUACCGUUUUCAUUGCUCUGCUUAUUCCAAUUUGGUCUUGAAUAAUCGUAUCAAGGUUUUUGAAGCAACAAUCGGACCAGGUUUUAAAAAGCUUGCCUAGCUGACCAGCUUACAUAUAACAGAUAUUGUCACUGAAUAUAUUUGUAGCCUGUAGGGUAUGGUUUUUCGAGAAAAAGUGAUUAGGGAAGGGUUUGAAGAUACUCUCAAAUCUGUCCAGAGAGACGAUGGAGCAAUGAGUUUUCUGCAGCUUGUUUGUUGAGGCUUUGUAGAAAUUCUGAUGUCUAGAUAUCAAGGUAUGCGCAUGCGCCUGUGCCCAACAUAUUUAUACUUGAGCUUGUUAUUGAGAUUAAAAAUUCUUCAGAUUCUAGGUAAAUCCAAAUUUCAAAUUCGGUCCAAUUCUUUUUGUGCAUUAAGAGAAUAUGUUUCUUGUUGAGAAAAGAGGGAAGGAUGAGCAAUCUCUUGAAAGCUUCCACCAUUUCCUUAUCCUAGGUUUGUUUCUGGACUUGCAGAAUAGAAUCUUCUUUUCUACCAUAGACUGGAGUUUUGUUCACUGUAAUCUGGUUCUGCUGGAUUUGUAUAAUCUGUUUGAAAGUUAUUUCUCACCUCAAAGUUGAGAUACUAAUGUAACAAAAUAAACAUAGAAUAAAAUUUAAAUGCGAAAAUGAUAUUUACCCCAUGGGAUUUGAUUA
Non-coding RNA from Momordica charantia (bitter melon), 720 nucleotides. Lineage: Eukaryota; Viridiplantae; Streptophyta; Magnoliopsida; Cucurbitales; Cucurbitaceae. The record is from RefSeq and is a predicted model, not a curated record.